Non-coding RNA from Gasterosteus aculeatus aculeatus (three-spined stickleback), 997 nucleotides. Lineage: Eukaryota; Metazoa; Chordata; Actinopteri; Perciformes; Gasterosteidae. The record is from RefSeq and is a predicted model, not a curated record.
GUUACUUUAUUAUUAGAAGCUCUCCUCUCUGUGUGACAUGGAACCCUACUUCUAUUUCUUAUUACUAACAUUGAAUUAACGAAUAUUUAGUGGAAUCCUAUUAAAUUUCCCCGUCGAGGCAACAAGGACGCGAUGAGGACCAGAGGUGAGUGCUGAGGAUGUGAAAGUGAUCUUUGAGUCAAAGGUGGUGAUGAUGUUCUACUGGAAAUGUGUAAUGAUGAUGAAGCACUGAUGAAGAUGAUGGAGUUAAAUAUGUAGGAAAUUGUUUGUAUUUGAUAAAUGAUAUUUGAUUGAAUUAACAUCAAGCUGUGGAAUGUUUAUAGUGUUUAGUGCAGAUGGACACAUUUCUCUGGUUUAAUUAAAUAAAGUAUUUUGUUUGGUGGCCGUACAGAGUUCCUACAGACGAGCAGUCGGAGCUGAUGUUGUGAAGAGACCAUUAAUAAUAAAAUAUGAGCCCACGUCAUGAUGUGACGGUAGUUACAAGUCAACCACAUAGAGACAUAUAUGGCUUCAUUUUAACAAUCUUUGAAGUAAUUGGUUGUUGCUUUGAAGGGAAGUAAAACGUUCUCCACUCGUUUCAUUCUGCAGAAUGAAGUCGUGCGUCGAGCUUCUCUUUGUUUCUCUGCUGACAUUAUGUGAAGCACAAGGAACCAUUGUGACUCCUGUGUUUGUGCUGAAGGGACGUGAUCUGCUCCUCAAGCUUCGUGCUGAUCCUCCUGAGAGGGUUUUAUUUGUUGACUGGAAAAUCAAUAAAAUAGUUGAUUUACUAAGAUUUGAUCCUAGUGGAAAAGCAACUGUCACUGGAAGGGUUCAGUUUGGUGAGAAUAAAUUCUCUGUGAUAUUGAAGAAUGUACAAGAGGUCGACAGUGGAGUUUAUUCUGCUGUAGCAGCAACAGAUACAGAAGACAAACUACUGACUGAAUACAAGGUCACAGUUCAAGGACCAGUGUCUCCAGUUGAACUGAUCGUGGACCGAGUGGACUCCAGCAGCUCAGAG